This 612-nucleotide ribosomal RNA is filed under the name Streptomyces tendae. Its description in RNAcentral is "bacterial SSU rRNA". It matches the Rfam family "Bacterial small subunit ribosomal RNA", at positions 84 to 709 of the family's 1533-position model. Lineage: Bacteria; Bacillati; Actinomycetota; Actinomycetes; Kitasatosporales; Streptomycetaceae. The record is from RNAcentral.
GGUGGGGAUUAGUGGCGAACGGGUGAGUAACACGUGGGCAAUCUGCCCUGCACUCUGGGACAAGCCCUGGAAACGGGGUCUAAUACCGGAUACUGACCCUCGCAGGCAUCUGCGAGGUUCGAAAGCUCCGGCGGUGCAGGAUGAGCCCGCGGCCUAUCAGCUUGUUGGUGAGGUAAUGGCUCACCAAGGCGACGACGGGUAGCCGGCCUGAGAGGGCGACCGGCCACACUGGGACUGAGACACGGCCCAGACUCCUACGGGAGGCAGCAGUGGGGAAUAUUGCACAAUGGGCGAAAGCCUGAUGCAGCGACGCCGCGUGAGGGAUGACGGCCUUCGGGUUGUAAACCUCUUUCAGCAGGGAAGAAGCGAAAGUGACGGUACCUGCAGAAGAAGCGCCGGCUAACUACGUGCCAGCAGCCGCGGUAAUACGUAGGGCGCGAGCGUUGUCCGGAAUUAUUGGGCGUAAAGAGCUCGUAGGCGGCUUGUCACGUCGGUUGUGAAAGCCCGGGGCUUAACCCCGGGUCUGCAGUCGAUACGGGCAGGCUAGAGUUCGGUAGGGGAGAUCGGAAUUCCUGGUGUAGCGGUGAAAUGCGCAGAUAUCACGAGGAACAC